Molecule: ribosomal RNA, 374 nt
Filed under: uncultured eukaryote
Lineage: Eukaryota
Description: partial 18S ribosomal RNA
Rfam family: Eukaryotic small subunit ribosomal RNA
Source: RNAcentral
CAAUAGCGUAUAUUUAAGUUGUUGCAGUUAAAAAGCUCGUAGUUGGAUUUCUGCUGAUCGCUGUCGGUCUGCCGUCAGGUGUGUACUGGCAGUGUUUGGCAUCUAUUCGAGAUCGGGUGUCCACUUGAUUGUGUGCACUCGAUGUCGGAGCUAAUACUUUGAGAAAAUUAGAGUGUUCCACGCAGGCGCGUGCCUUGAAUACUGCAGCAUGGGAUAUUGGAAGGCCGAUUGAGCUUUCUUGUUGGUUCUCGGUUUGAUCGGAAUGAUUAAUAGGGAUAGUUGGGGGCAUUCGUAUUCAACUGUCAGAGGUGAAAUUCUUGGAUUUGUUGAAGACGGACUACUGCGAAAGCAUCUGCCAUGGAUGUUCUCAUUGA